UACGUAGGUGGCAAGCGUUGUCCGGAUUUACUGGGCGUAAAGGGAGCGUAGGCGGAUUUUUAAGUGAGAUGUGAAAUACCCGGGCUUAACUUGGGUGCUGCAUUUCAAACUGGAAGUCUAGAGUGCAGGAGAGGAGAAGGGAAUUCCUAGUGUAGCGGUGAAAUGCGUAGAGAUUAGGAAGAACACCAGUGGCGAAGGCGAUUCUCUGGACUGUAACUGACGCUGAGGCUCGAAAGCGUGGGGAGCAAACAGGAUUAGAUACCCCUGUAGU
RNAcentral lists this ribosomal RNA (271 nucleotides) under uncultured prokaryote. Its description in RNAcentral is "partial 16S ribosomal RNA". It matches the Rfam family "Bacterial small subunit ribosomal RNA", at positions 524 to 794 of the family's 1533-position model. The record is from RNAcentral.